RNAcentral lists this ribosomal RNA (253 nucleotides) under uncultured prokaryote. RNAcentral's name for it is "partial 16S ribosomal RNA". It matches the Rfam family "Bacterial small subunit ribosomal RNA", at positions 524 to 776 of the family's 1533-position model. The record is from RNAcentral.
UACGAAGGGGACUAGCGUUGUUCGGAAUUACUGGGCGUAAAGCGCGCGUAGGCGGAUCGCUAAGUCAGGGGUGAAAUCCCAGGGCUCAACCCUGGAACUGCCUUUGAUACUGACGAUCUGGAGAUCGGGAGAGGUUGGUGGAAUUCCGAGUGUAGAGGUGAAAUUCGUAGAUAUUAGGAAGAACACCAGUGGCGAAGGCGGCCCACUGGUCCGGUACUGACGCUGAGGUGCGAAAGCGUGGGGAGCAAACAGG